UGCAGUCGAACGAUGAAGCCCUUCGGGGUGGAUUAGUGGCGAACGGGUGAGUAACACGGGGCAAUCUGCCCUUCACUCUGGGACAAGCCCUGGAAACGGGGUCUAAUACCGGAUACCACUCCUGCCUGCAUGGGCGGGAGUUGAAAGCUCCGGCGGUGAAGGAUGAGCCCGCGGCCUAUCAGCUUGUUGGUGGGGUAAUGGCCCACCAAGGCGACGACGGGUAGCCGGCCUGAGAGGGCGACCGGCCACACUGGGACUGAGACACGGCCCAGACUCCUACGGGAGGCAGCAGUGGGGAAUAUUGCACAAUGGGCGAAAGCCUGAUGCAGCGACGCCGCGUGAGGGAUGACGGCCUUCGGGUUGUAAACCUCUUUCAGCAGGGAAGAAGCGAAAGUGACGGUACCUGCAGAAGAAGCGCCGGCUAACUACGUGCCAGCAGCCGCGGUAAUACGUAGGGCGCAAGCGUUGUCCGGAAUUAUUGGGCGUAAAGAGCUCGUAGGCGGCUUGUCACGUCGGAUGUGAAAGCCCGAGGCUUAACCUCGGGUCUGCAUUCGAUACGGGCUAACUAGAGUGUGGUAGGGGAGAUCGGAAUUCCUGGUGUAGCGGUGAAAUGCGU
RNAcentral lists this ribosomal RNA (616 nucleotides) under Streptomyces lavendulae. RNAcentral describes it as "bacterial SSU rRNA". It matches the Rfam family "Bacterial small subunit ribosomal RNA", at positions 56 to 691 of the family's 1533-position model. The record is from RNAcentral. Lineage: Bacteria; Bacillati; Actinomycetota; Actinomycetes; Kitasatosporales; Streptomycetaceae.